AUACGGAGGAUGCAAGCGUUAUCCGGAUUUAUUGGGUUUAAAGGGUGCGUAGGCGGUUUGCUAAGCGGGAGGUGAAAUGCCGGCGCUCAACGUCGGAAGUGCCUCCCGAACUGGUGGACUGGAAUGACUCUGCCGUGGGAGGAAUGUGUAGUGUAGCGGUGAAAUGCUUAGAGAUUACACAGAACACCGAUUGCGAGGGCAUCUCGCGUAGGGUUGAUUUACGCUGAGGCACGAAAGCGUGGGGAUCAAACAGUAUUAGAUGCCCUGGUAGUCCACGCAGUAAGCGAUGAUGGCUAGACGGUGGUUUAUUCGGAGCAGUGGCCAAGGGAAAGCCAUAAGCCAUCCCCCUGGGGAGUACGGCCGCAAGGUGGAAGCUCACAUGAAUUGACGGGG
This 393-nucleotide ribosomal RNA is filed under the name uncultured bacterium. RNAcentral's name for it is "partial 16S ribosomal RNA". It matches the Rfam family "Bacterial small subunit ribosomal RNA", at positions 523 to 918 of the family's 1533-position model. The record is from RNAcentral.